UGGGGAAUAUUGCACAAUGGGGGAAACCCUGAUGCAGCGACGCCGCGUGAAGGAAGAAGUAUCUCGGUAUGUAAACUUCUAUCAGCAGGGAAGAAAAUGACGGUACCUGACUAAGAAGCCCCGGCUAACUACGUGCCAGCAGCCGCGGUAAUACGUAGGGGGCAAGCGUUAUCCGGAUUUACUGGGUGUAAAGGAGCGUAGACGGAAGAGCAAGUCUGAUGUGAAAGGCUGGGGCUUAACCCCAGGACUGCAUUGGAAACUGUUUUUCUAGAGUGCCGGAGAGGUAAGCGGAAUUCCUAGUGUAGCGGUGAAAUGCGUAGAUAUUAGGAGGAACACCAGUGGCGAAGGCGGCUUACUGGACGGUAACUGACGUUGAGGCUCGAAAGCGUGGGGAGCAAACAGG
RNAcentral lists this ribosomal RNA (403 nucleotides) under Acidobacteriota bacterium. RNAcentral describes it as "Acidobacteria bacterium partial 16S ribosomal RNA". It matches the Rfam family "Bacterial small subunit ribosomal RNA", at positions 355 to 776 of the family's 1533-position model. The record is from RNAcentral. Lineage: Bacteria; Pseudomonadati; Acidobacteriota.